CAUGGCCCUUUUGGAAGCUGCAGCUGCGUCCAUAUAGCUACUGCGGUCAAAAGGAGUACAGAGGGAGUUUUCCUUGGUCGCUGUUCUGUCCAUAACUGAUCUGCAACAUUUCAGGAAAACAGUU
Small nucleolar RNA from Myotis lucifugus (little brown bat), 124 nucleotides. Lineage: Eukaryota; Metazoa; Chordata; Mammalia; Chiroptera; Vespertilionidae. The record is from Ensembl.